UGACAACCCACUAGAGCCCAAGACCAAGGAAAACUGCUUUGAGAAGGCAGGCCCAUGCCCCUGGGAGUAGGCUCACCAGUCAUAGUCCUGGCCAUGAACACAGAAACACCGCCAUCUGCCUGUGGACCCUGCUGCAGCCCUGCUUACAUGUGGUUCCAGAUGCAGCCUCAAAAGUCAUUCCCAAAAGUCAUUCAGGAGCAGCCCAGUUAAGAACCAUUGCUGAGGAACUACUGCAGUCCCUUGAAGCCAGAAGCUUCACUUCUAAUGAUGAAUGUCCUUCAGAAUAUUAUCAUUGCAGACUGAAGUGCAAUGCUGAUGAACAUGCAAUUAGAUACUGUGCUGACUUCAGCAUCUGCUGCAAACUGAAGAUCAUUCAAAUUGAUGGACAAAAGAAGUGGUGAAAAUUCUAACUCCAUCUUCUUCAGACUCCAGGAGAAAAAACAUGUCUUAAACUCUCUUAUCUAUGAAUAAUUAACAUGAUAGAUGAAAAUUAUUAUAAUUGCAUGUUUAGAUGGUCAGGUGAAAAUGAAUAUAAAUUUUAUAAAUGCUUACACUCUAUUUUCAUUUGUGCAUUUUAACAUUUACUCCCUUAAUUUACAUCCACAGCCACAUUGUUGUUUCACCCAUAGUACUAUAUCCGAUGCGGGGAGUAAGAGCCAGCCCCUUUUGCCCCCCUGGCUCUUAGAACCCCUAUCGCAGGGGGGUGAGGCACCACCAGCGAUGCUGGGAGUAAGAGCCAGCCCUUCUUGCCCCUCUGACUCUUAGGACCCCCAUUGCAGGGGGAUGAGGAGCCCCCCACGAUGCAGGGAGUAAGAGCCAGCCCCUCUUGCCCCCCUGGUUUUUAGGAUCCGCGGUGGAUACACAGCCUGUUUAUCAAAUUGUGAGUAAUAUCAUCUCCCGCUCUGGAGAUUAUGAACUGUUUCACAAACCGGUGUACACCCUGGGUAUACAGAGAUUGUACACCCGUCUGUAUUGGGUGUCAUAUCAUCUUCUUCCUCCCUGAAUAUUAAGAACAGUAUCAAAGGGGUGUUUCUACUCCCUGGGAUAUCGCGUGUCAUAUCCUCCUCUCCCAAGUUGCAAUUAGAAACAAUAUCAGUGGGGGUGUGUCCACCUUCUGUGAUAUUGAAAGUAAUAUCACAUUCUUCCCUCCAGGAUCAUGGGAACAAUAUCCUUGGUGGUGUCCACUUUCUGCCAUAUAUAUAGUCCUAUCAGCCCCUCCGCUUUGGAAUGUUAUUAAGGACCAUCUCACACGGGGGUGUACACUUCCUGCGAUGUUGGGAGUAAUAGCAUUUUCUUCUUCUGUGAAUUAGGAGCAAAAUCACCGG
This 1325-nucleotide long non-coding RNA is filed under the name Homo sapiens (human). RNAcentral describes it as "HSALNT0177900". Lineage: Eukaryota; Metazoa; Chordata; Mammalia; Primates; Hominidae. The record is from RNAcentral.